CCUACGGGUGGCAGCAGUGGGGAAUAUUGGGCAAUGGGCGCAAGCCUGACCCAGCAACGCCGCGUGACGGAAGAAGGCUUUCGGGUUGUAAACUUCUUUUCUCAGGGACGAAGCACGUGACGGUCCCUGAGGAAUAAGCCACGGCUAACUACGUGCCAGCAGCCGCGGUAAUACGGAGGGUGCGAGCGUUAAUCGGAAUUACUGGGCGUAAAGCGCUCGUAGGCGGUAUGUCAAGUCAAGGGUGAAAUCCCCGCGCUAAACGUGGGAACUGCCUUUGAAACUGGCAAACUGGAGUGUGUGAGAGGAUAGUGGAAUUCCAGGUGUAGGAGUGAAAUCCGUAGAUAUCGGGAGGAACAUCAGGGGCGAAGGCGACUAUCUGGCACAUAACUGACGCUGAGGAGCGAAAGCGUGGGUAGCAAACAGGAUUAGAUACCCUAGGAGUC
This 443-nucleotide ribosomal RNA is filed under the name uncultured bacterium. Its description in RNAcentral is "partial 16S ribosomal RNA". It matches the Rfam family "Bacterial small subunit ribosomal RNA", at positions 338 to 795 of the family's 1533-position model. The record is from RNAcentral.